GCCAAGGUAGCUCAGUCGGUAGAGCAGAGGACUGAAAAUCCUUGUGUGGGGGGUUCGAUUCCCUCCCUUGGCACCA
This 76-nucleotide transfer RNA is filed under the name Candidatus Omnitrophus magneticus. Its description in RNAcentral is "tRNA-Phe". It matches the Rfam family "tRNA". Rfam says of the family: Transfer RNA (tRNA) molecules are approximately 80 nucleotides in length. Their secondary structure includes four short double-helical elements and three loops (D, anti-codon, and T loops). Further hydrogen bonds mediate the characteristic L-shaped molecular structure. tRNAs have two regions of fundamental functional importance: the anti-codon, which is responsible for specific mRNA codon recognition, and the 3' end, to which the tRNAs corresponding amino acid is attached (by aminoacyl-tRNA synthetases). tRNAs cope with the degeneracy of the genetic code in two manners: having more than one tRNA (with a specific anti-codon) for a particular amino acid; and 'wobble' base-pairing, i.e. permitting non-standard base-pairing at the 3rd anti-codon position. The record is from RNAcentral. Lineage: Bacteria; Pseudomonadati; Candidatus Omnitrophota.